RNAcentral lists this ribosomal RNA (497 nucleotides) under uncultured bacterium. RNAcentral's name for it is "partial 16S ribosomal RNA". It matches the Rfam family "Bacterial small subunit ribosomal RNA", at positions 28 to 507 of the family's 1533-position model. The record is from RNAcentral.
GAUGAACGCUGGCGGCGUGCCUAAUACAUGCAAGUCGAGCGAACAGACGAGGAGCUUGCUCCUCUGACGUUAGCGGCGGACGGGUGAGUAACACGUGGAUAACCUACCUAUAAGACUGGGAUAACUUCGGGAAACCGGAGCUAAUACCGGAUAAUAUAUUGAACCGCAUGGUUCAAUAGUGAAAGACGGUUUUGCUGUAACUUAUAGAUGGAUCCGCGCCGCAUUAGCUGGUUGGUAAGGUAACGGCUUACCAAGGCAACUAGGCGUAGCCGAGCUGAGAGGGUGAUCGGCCACACUGGAACUUGGACACGGUCCAGACUCCUACGGUAGGCAGCAGUAGCGAAUCUUCCGCAAUGGGCGAAAGCCUGACGGAGCAACGCCGCGUCAGUGAUGACGGUCUUCGGAUCGUAAAACUCUGUUAUUAGGGAAGAACAAAUGUGUAAGUAACUAUGCACGUCUUGACGGUACCUAAUCAGAAAGCCACGGCUAACUACGUG